GCAAGUCGAACGAGAUGAUUUAAUGCUUGCAUUAAAGAUUCUAGUGGCGAACGGGUGAGUAACACGUAGGAAACUUACCCCAAAGACGAGGAUAACUGUGAGAAAUCGCAGCUAAUACUGGAUAGGUAAUAAAAACGCAUGUUUUUAUUAUUAAAGAGGCUGCUAGCCUUGCUUUGGGAUGGUCCUGCGGUGCAUUAGUUAGUUGGUGGGGUAAUGGCCUACCAAGACGAUGAUGCGUAGCUGGGCUGAGAGGCCUAAC
Molecule: ribosomal RNA, 259 nt
Filed under: uncultured bacterium
Lineage: Bacteria
Description: partial 16S ribosomal RNA
Rfam family: Bacterial small subunit ribosomal RNA
Source: RNAcentral